AGUACCCCGAGGAAAAGAAAUCAACCGAGAUUCCCCCAGUAGCGGCGAGCGAACGGGGAGCAGCCCAGAGCCUGAAUCAGUGUGUGUGUUAGUGGAAGCGUCUGGAAAGGCGUGCGAUACAGGGUGACAGCCCCGUACACAAAAAUGCACAUACUGUGAGCUCGAUGAGUAGGGCGGGACACGUGGUAUCCUGUCUGAAUAUGGGGGGACCAUCCUCCAAGGCUAAAUACUCCUGACUGACCGAUAGUGAACCAGUACCGUGAGGGAAAGGCGAAAAGAACCCCGGCGAGGGGAGUGAAAAAGAACCUGAAACCGUGUACGUACAAGCAGUGGGAGCACGCUUAGGCGUGUGACUGCGUACCUUUUGUAUAAUGGGUCAGCGACUUAUAUUCUGUAGCAAGGUUAACCGAAUAGGGGAGCCGAAGGGAAACCGAGUCUUAACUGGGCGUUAAGUUGCAGGGUAUAGACCCGAAACCCGGUGAUCUAGCCAUGGGCAGGUUGAAGGUUGGGUAACACUAACUGGAGGACCGAACCGACUAAUGUUGAAAAAUUAGCGGAUGACUUGUGGCUGGGGGUGAAAGGCCAAUCAAACCGGGAGAUAGCUGGUUCUCCCCGAAAGCUAUUUAGGUAGCGCCUCGUGAAUUCAUCUCCGGGGGUAGAGCACUGUUUCGGCAAGGGGGUCAUCCCGACUUACCAACCCGAUGCAAACUGCGAAUACCGGAGAAUGUUAUCACGGGAGACACACGGCGGGUGCUAACGUCCGUCGUGAAGAGGGAAACAACCCAGACCGCCAGCUAAGGUCCCAAAGUCAUGGUUAAGUGGGAAACGAUGUGGGAAGGCCCAGACAGCCAGGAUGUUGGCUUAGAAGCAGCCAUCAUUUAAAGAAAGCGUAAUAGCUCACUGGUCGAGUCGGCCUGCGCGGAAGAUGUAACGGGGCUAAACCAUGCACCGAAGCUGCGGCAGCGACGCUUAUGCGUUGUUGGGUAGGGGAGCGUUCUGUAAGCCUGUGAAGGUGUGCUGUGAGGUAUGCUGGAGGUAUCAGAAGUGCGAAUGCUGACAUAAGUAACGAUAAAGCGGGUGAAAAGCCCGCUCGCCGGAAGACCAAGGGUUCCUGUCCAACGUUAAUCGGGGCAGGGUGAGUCGACCCCUAAGGCGAGGCCGAAAGGCGUAGUCGAUGGGAAACAGGUUAAUAUUCCUGUACUUGGUGUUACUGCGAAGGGGGGACGGAGAAGGCUAUGUUGGCCGGGCGACGGUUGUCCCGGUUUAAGCGUGUAGGCUGGUUUUCCAGGCAAAUCCGGAAAAUCAAGGCCGAGGCGUGAUGACGAGGCACUACGGUGCUGAAGCAACAAAUGCCCUGCUUCCAGGAAAAGCCUCUAAGCAUCAGGUAACAUCAAAUCGUACCCCAAACCGACACAGGUGGUCAGGUAGAGAAUACCAAGGCGCUUGAGAGAACUCGGGUGAAGGAACUAGGCAAAAUGGUGCCGUAACUUCGGGAGAAGGCACGCUGAUACGUAGGUGAAGCGACUUGCUCGUGGAGCUGAAAUCAGUCGAAGAUACCAGCUGGCUGCAACUGUUUAUUAAAAACACAGCACUGUGCAAACACGAAAGUGGACGUAUACGGUGUGACGCCUGCCCGGUGCCGGAAGGUUAAUUGAUGGGGUUAGCGCAAGCGAAGCUCUUGAUCGAAGCCCCGGUAAACGGCGGCCGUAACUAUAACGGUCCUAAGGUAGCGAAAUUCCUUGUCGGGUAAGUUCCGACCUGCACGAAUGGCGUAAUGAUGGCCAGGCUGUCUCCACCCGAGACUCAGUGAAAUUGAACUCGCUGUGAAGAUGCAGUGUACCCGCGGCAAGACGGAAAGACCCCGUGAACCUUUACUAUAGCUUGACACUGAACAUUGAGCCUUGAUGUGUAGGAUAGGUGGGAGGCUUUGAAGUGUGGACGCCAGUCUGCAUGGAGCCGACCUUGAAAUACCACCCUUUAAUGUUUGAUGUUCUAACGUGGACCCGUGAUCCGGGUUGCGGACAGUGUCUGGUGGGUAGUUUGACUGGGGCGGUCUCCUCCUAAAGAGUAACGGAGGAGCACGAAGGUUGGCUAAUCCUGGUCGGACAUCAGGAGGUUAGUGCAAUGGCAUAAGCCAGCUUGACUGCGAGCGUGACGGCGCGAGCAGGUGCGAAAGCAGGUCAUAGUGAUCCGGUGGUUCUGAAUGGAAGGGCCAUCGCUCAACGGAUAAAAGGUACUCCGGGGAUAACAGGCUGAUACCGCCCAAGAGUUCAUAUCGACGGCGGUGUUUGGCACCUCGAUGUCGGCUCAUCACAUCCUGGGGCUGAAGUAGGUCCCAAGGGUAUGGCUGUUCGCCAUUUAAAGUGGUACGCGAGCUGGGUUUAGAACGUCGUGAGACAGUUCGGUCCCUAUCUGCCGUGGGCGCUGGAGAACUGAGGGGGGCUGCUCCUAGUACGAGAGGACCGGAGUGGACGCAUCACUGGUGUUCGGGUUGUCAUGCCAAUGGCACUGCCCGGUAGCUAAAUGCGGAAGAGAUAAGUGCUGAAAGCAUCUAAGCACGAAACUUGCCCCGAGAUGAGUUCUCCCUGACCCUUUAAGGGUCCUGAAGGAACGUUGAAGACGACGACGUUGAUAGGCCGGGUGUGUAAGCGCAGCGAUGCGUUGAGCUAACCGGUACUAAUGAACCGUGAGGCUUAACCUUACAACGCCGAAG
RNAcentral lists this ribosomal RNA (2713 nucleotides) under Shigella flexneri. RNAcentral's name for it is "partial 23S ribosomal RNA". It matches the Rfam family "Bacterial large subunit ribosomal RNA". Lineage: Bacteria; Pseudomonadati; Pseudomonadota; Gammaproteobacteria; Enterobacterales; Enterobacteriaceae. The record is from RNAcentral.